ACCUGCCCUUGACUUCGGGAUAACUCCGGGAAACCGGGGCUAAUACCGGAUAUGAGCCGUCCUCGCAUGGGGGUGGUUGGAAAGUUUUUCGGUCAGGGAUGGGCUCGCGGCCUAUCAGCUUGUUGGUGGGGUGAUGGCCUACCAAGGCGACGACGGGUAGCCGGCCUGAGAGGGCGACCGGCCACACUGGGACUGAGACACGGCCCAGACUCCUACGGGAGGCAGCAGUGGGGAAUAUUGCACAAUGGGCGAAAGCCUGAUGCAGCGACGCCGCGUGAGGGAUGAAGGCCUUCGGGUUGUAAACCUCUUUCAGCAGGGAAGAAGCGCAAGUGACGGUACCUGCAGAAGAAGCGCCGGCUAACUACGUGCCAGCAGCCGCGGUAAUACGUAGGGCGCAAGCGUUGUCCGGAAUUAUUGGGCGUAAAGAGCUCGUAGGCGGUUUGUCGCGUCUGGUGUGAAAACUCGAGGCUCAACCUCGAGCUUGCAUCGGGUACGGGCAGACUAGAGUGCGGUAGGGGAGACUGGAAUUCCUGGUGUAGCGGUGGAAUGCGCAGAUAUCAGGAGGAACACCGAUGGCGAAGGCAGGUCUCUGGGCCGCAACUGACGCUGAGGAGCGAAAGCAUGGGGAGCGAACAGGAUUAGAUACCCUGGUAGUCCAUGCCGUAAACGUUGGGCACUAGGUGUGGGGCUCAUUCCACGAGUUCCGUGCCGCAGCAAACGCAUUAAGUGCCCCGCCUGGGGAGUACGGCCGCAAGGCUAAAACUCAAAGGAAUUGACGGGGGCCCGCACAAGCGGCGGAGCAUGCGGAUUAAUUCGAUGCAACGCGAAGAACCUUACCAAGGCUUGACAUGCACGAGAAGCCACCAGAGAUGGUGGUCUCUUUGGACACUCGUGCACAGGUGGUGCAUGGUUGUCGUCAGCUCGUGUCGUGAGAUGUUGGGUUAAGUCCCGCAACGAGCGCAACCCUCGUCCCAUGUUGCCAGCGGGUUAUGCCGGGGACUCAUGGGAGACUGCCGGGGUCAACUCGGAGGAAGGUGGGGAUGACGUCAAAUCAUCAUGCCCCUUAUGUCUUGGGCUUCACGCAUGCUACAAUGGCCGGUACAAAGGGCUGCGAUACCGUAAGGUGGAGCGAAUCCCAAAAAGCCGGUCUCAGUUCGGAUUGGGGUCUGCAACUCGACCCCAUGAAGUCGGAGUCGCUAGUAAUCGCAGAUCAGCAACGCUGCGGUGAAUACGUUCCCGGGCCUUGUACACACCG
This 1255-nucleotide ribosomal RNA is filed under the name Cellulosimicrobium cellulans. Its description in RNAcentral is "bacterial SSU rRNA". It matches the Rfam family "Bacterial small subunit ribosomal RNA", at positions 124 to 1392 of the family's 1533-position model. The record is from RNAcentral. Lineage: Bacteria; Bacillati; Actinomycetota; Actinomycetes; Micrococcales; Promicromonosporaceae.